RNAcentral lists this ribosomal RNA (731 nucleotides) under uncultured bacterium. Its description in RNAcentral is "bacterial SSU rRNA". It matches the Rfam family "Bacterial small subunit ribosomal RNA", at positions 771 to 1501 of the family's 1533-position model. The record is from RNAcentral.
AACAGGAUUAGAUACCCUGGUAGUCCACGCUGUAAACGAUGCCGACUUGGAGGUUGUGCCCUUGAGGCGUGGCUUCCGGAGCUAACGCGUUAAGUCGACCGCCUGGGGAGUACGGCCGCAAGGUUAAAACUCAAAUGAAUUGACGGGGGCCCGCACAAGCGGUGGAGCAUGUGGUUUAAUUCGAUGCAACGCGAAGAACCUUACCUACUCUUGACAUCCAGAGAAUUUGCUAGAGAUAGCUUAGUGCCUUCGGGAACUCUGAGACAGGUGCUGCAUGGCUGUCGUCAGCUCGUGUUGUGAAAUGUUGGGUUAAGUCCCGCAACGAGCGCAACCCUUAUCCUUUGUUGCCAGCACGUAAUGGUGGGAACUCAAAGGAGACUGCCGGUGAUAAACCGGAGGAAGGUGGGGAUGACGUCAAGUCAUCAUGGCCCUUACGAGUAGGGCUACACACGUGCUACAAUGGCAUAUACAAAGAGAAGCGAACUCGCGAGAGCAAGCGGACCUCAUAAAGUAUGUCGUAGUCCGGAUUGGAGUCUGCAACUCGACUCCAUGAAGUCGGAAUCGCUAGUAAUCGUAGAUCAGAAUGCUACGGUGAAUACGUUCCCGGGCCUUGUACACACCGCCCGUCACACCAUGGGAGUGGGUUGCAAAAGAAGUAGGUAGCUUAACCUUCGGGAGGGCGCUUACCACUUUGUGAUUCAUGACUGGGGUGAAGUCGUAACAAGGUAACC